AUUGAACGCUAGCGGCAUGCUUAACACAUGCAAGUCGAACGAGUGGCGGACGGGUGAGUAAUAUAUCGGAACGUGACCCGUAGCGGGGGAUAACUACUCGAAACAGUGGCUAAUAACGCAUACUAUUGGAGCCGCCGAUAUCGGAUUAGCUAGUAGGUGGGGUAAAGGCUCACCAAGGCAACGAUCGGUAGCUGGUUUGAGAGGCCGACCAUCCAAACUGGGACUGAGACACGGCCCAGACUCCUACGGGAGGCAGCGGUGGGAAAUUUUGGACAAUGGGGGAAACCCUGAUCCAGCAAUGCCGCGUGUAUGAGAAGGCCUUCGGGUUGUAAAGUACUUUUGGCGGGGAGGCGGUAUCUGCAGAAUAAGCACCGGCUAACUACGUGCCAGCAGCCGCGGUAAUAC
Molecule: ribosomal RNA, 405 nt
Filed under: uncultured bacterium
Lineage: Bacteria
Description: partial 16S ribosomal RNA
Rfam family: Bacterial small subunit ribosomal RNA
Source: RNAcentral